RNAcentral lists this ribosomal RNA (244 nucleotides) under uncultured bacterium. Its description in RNAcentral is "partial small subunit ribosomal RNA". It matches the Rfam family "Bacterial small subunit ribosomal RNA", at positions 26 to 285 of the family's 1533-position model. The record is from RNAcentral.
AGAACGAACGCUGGCGGCAUGCCUAACACAUGCAAGUCGCACGAGAAAGGGUAGCAAUACCUGAGUACAGUGGCGCACGGGUGAGUAACACGUGAAUAAUCUACCUCCGAGUGGGGAAUAACCUAGGGAAACCUGGGCUAAUACCGCAUAACACUUACGAGUCAAAGCAGCAAUGCGCUUGGAGAGGAGUUCGCGGCAGAUUAGCUAGUUGGUGGGGUAAUGGCCCACAAGGCGAUGAUCUGUA